AUAGAUGAGAACAGCAACACCAUCUGUUCACUCUGUGUUCUCUGUGCCCAGUGUUGUGUGAAACUUUCUAUCCAAUAUCUUGCAAAAUCCUUACAGCAACCCUAUAAGGGUUGGGUCGGGGCCUUCCAAUCUCUAUAGGUUUUACUGCUUCCAAAGACCUGGCAUACUCCUGGUUUGUGAUGAUCAAGUUCUGGGUCAGAGCAGGGAGAAGCAGCCCAUGAGGCCGGUGAAAUGGUGCCCAAUGGAGGGGAAGGCCCUGGCUUGUGAUCUUGGGCAAGUCCCUCCUCAUACCCAGCUUCAGCUUCUCCUCUAUAAAAUGGCUCUAGGAUGCAGCAGUGAACAAAACAGACGAGUCUACAGAGUUGACAUGACAUGCAGGGGCCAUGGAGAAGGCGAGAACUGUGGAAACGUCGUUGUUGAGUAUGUCAAAUGGUGAUGUGUGCUGUAAAGAAGGAGUGAAGCUGGACUCAGAGCGGACAGGAAGACAGGGGUAGGGGUAGGUCUGGGCUUUUGUACAGGGUGAUCUGAGAAGGCCACUUUGACAAGGUGAUAUGUAAAGUGAGGACACAAGCCCUGUGACUAUGUGGGCACAACUCUCCUAGGAAAAGGGAGCAGCAAAGUGCAUGGACCCCAAAGCAGGAAUGAAUAUGCUCAGUGCGUCCAAGGAAGAGCCGGGACCAGCAGAGCUCAAGUGGAGUGAGCGUGGGGAAAGAGCGGACCCGGUCAGAGGGGUGCUGGGGACCAGACAACGUCACGCGUCAUGGCCAUCGCUAAGGAUUUGGGGUUUUACUUUGCAUGAGAUGAAAAGCCACAGGAGGGUUUUGAAUAGAGGAGUAGAAUGAUUUGACUUGAGUUUUUAAAAGGUUUACUCCAGCUGCUUGGUGGAGAGUGGAUGGUGCAGGUGAGGGCAGAGGCAGGGAAACCAGUUAGGAGGCUGCUGCAGCGACGUGGGAGAGGACUGUGGGUGGUUUGGGCCAUAUUAGAAGCAGUGGUAAGAAACACUGAGCUCUGGAUGUGUUCUGAAGGUAUGCCAACGUGAUUUACUAACCGAUCCAUGAAGGGCAUGAGAGGAAGAGAGCAAUCAAAAAUGACCCCCAGGGUUUUUGUCUGAGCAUCUGGAGUUGCCCUUAUUUGAGAGUUAGAAGACCAAGAGGGCCGGGUGUAGUGGCUCACGUCUGUAAUCCCGGCACUUUGGGAGGCCGAGGCAGGUGGAUCACUUGAGGUCAAGAGUUGGAGACCAGCCUGGCCAACGUGGUGAAACCCCGUCUCUACUAAAAAUACAAAAAAUAGCCAGGCAUGGUGGUGGGCAUCUGUAGUCCCAGCUACUCAGGAGGCUGAGGCAGGAGAAUCGCUUGAACCCGGCAGGCGGAGGUUGCAGCAAGCCAAGAUCGUGCCACUGCACUCCAGCCUGGGUGGCAGAGCAAGACUCCGUCUCAAAACAAAACAAAACAAAAAACAAGAGGAACACAUUAGGUGGAUAGGAGAUGUCGUUUGGGUGCAGCCAGGCUGGGUGGCUCACACUUGUAAUCCCAGCACUUUGGGAGGCCCAGGUGGGAGGACUGUUUGAGCCCAGGAGUUGGAGACCAGCCCGGCUAACAUAGCGAGACUCCAUCCCUACAGAAAAAUUAAAAAAUUAGCCGGGCAUGGCGGCAUGUGCCUGUAGUCCCAGCGACUUGGGUGGGGGGCUGAGUUCAGGAGGUUUUGGCUGCAGUGAGCUGUGAUCACACCGCUGCACUCCAGCCUGGGCAUUAGAGCAAGACCUUGUCUUAAAAAAAAAACAACGAAAGUUUGAAUUGCCCAUUAGACAUCCAAGUAGAAAGGUCGAGUUUUAAGUUGGGUAUAGAAGUCUGGAGUUUGGGGUAAAGGUCUGGGCUGGAGAUCUAGCUUUAGGAGUCCUUCAGUCCUAGAGAGAGGGUGAAGUCAGGAAGGAAUGACAGAGGAAGCACCCAGGCCUGGACCUUGGGACCCUCCAAUGUUCACGGGCAGAGAGAAGUGGGGAGCGGCCAGUGAGGCAGGGGAGACCCCCUGGAGUGAGUGUCAAGAGGAUGGAGGGAGCUACUCUGUCAAAGACUGCUGCUCAUGGGCCAAGUAAAAUGAGGUCUGAGAACAGCCCAUUGCAUUUGGCAGCUGGAGGUCCUUCAAGGUCUUGACGUGAGCUGUUUCGGUGGAGCCAGGUAAUAAAAGUUAGUGGGUAGGAGUUAAAGCAAGAAAUUUCUUUGACUUUUGUCACCUGGCUCCACUGAAACAGCUCACGUCAAACCUCUGAGGAAGGGAAUUGGAGACAGUAACUGGAACACUCUUAAAGUUCUUUAGGCUGGGGACAGUGGCUCACGUCUGUGAUCCCAACACUUUGGGAGGCCGAGGUGGGUGGAUUGCUUGAGUCCAGGAGUUUGAGACCACUCUGGACAAUAUGGCAAAACUCAAUUUCUACUGAAAAUACAAAAAAUUAGCCAGGUGUGGUGGCCUGUGCCUGUGGUCCCACCUACUGGGGAGUCGGAGGUGGACGGAUCACCUGAGCCUGGGAGGUGGAGGCUGCAGUGAGUCCUGAUUGCAUCACUAUACUCCAGCCUAGGAAACCAGAGUGAGGCCCUGUCUCAGGGGAAAAAAAAAAAAAAGAAUUAUCCAGCCUGGGCAACAAAGUGAGACCCUGUCUCUACAAAAAAAUAAAAAUAAAAAAAUUAACUAGGUGUGGUGAUGGACACCUGUGGAUCCAGCUACUUGGGAAGCUGAGGUGGAAGGAUCACUUGAGCCUGUGAGGUCGAGGCUGCGAUGAGCUGUGAUUAUGCCACUGCACUAUAGCCUGAGUGAGAGUGAAAUCUUGUCUCAAAAAAAAAAAAAACAGUUUUGUCUACAGGUGAGCAGAGCAGGGAGCAAUGGCUAAAGCAGGAUGAGAGAUAAAGGAAGAGAACUAGGUUGUUGUUCUGCUUCCCAUCUUGUUAUUCCAGGUCAGACAUGGUGAGGUUCACCAAGGCAAAUCCAAUAGUGGGAGUUGGAAUGUGGGCAAGGAAGUUCUGUCAUGAUCAACUGUGAAUCUACAUUGGCUAAGGAGUGAAAUGAGGCAAUUAAGGGGCUAAUGAUUCAUGAAGAGGUGGUUGGGUCAUAGAUUCUAAGUCUCAGCUGGUAGAAGGAUUAUUGAAGUCUGGAUAAGAGAAAGAGUGAGCUGGAAACCCAGGGCACAGUGGUUGGAGAGUGGGACAUAGAAACUGAGAUGACUAGGCUGGGCGUGGUGGCUCACGCCUGUAGUCCCAGCUACUCAGGAGGCUGAGGCAGGAGAAUGGUGUGAACCCGGGAGGCGGAGCUUGCAGUGGGCCAAGAUCGCGCCACUGCACUCCAGCCUGGACGACAGAGCAAGACUCCUUCUCAAAAAAAAAAAAAAAAAUAAGAAACCAAGAUGACAGACAACUGCAGCCAGAGAAAAUGACAGUUCUAGGGUGCGACCGUGGGAGUGAGAGGUUAGGGUGGAGGUGACCAGGUGGACAGUAGGACACAGAACUGAGAGGUACACAAGGAUCUUCUGUGUGGAUAUUGAAAUCAGUGUGAGAUAAAUACAGUGCUGGAGAGACUGAGAAUGAACUCAAAGUCCUCAAGGAUCGAGAUGAGAAGUGACCUGGGGUCAGCAGGUACCUUCAAGAAGGAGGCGGUCGGCUGGGCACGGUGGCUCACGCCUGUAAUCCCAGCACUUUGGAGGCCGAGGCGGGCAGAUCACCUGAAGUAGGAGUUCGAGACCAGCCUGGCCAACAUGGUGAAACCCCAUCUCUACUAAAAAUACAAAAAUUAGCCAGGCGUGGUGGCGGGUGCCUGUAAUCCCAGCUACUCAGGAGGCUGAGGCAGGAGAAUUGCUUGAACCCAGGAGGCAGAGGUUGCAGUGAGCCAAGAUUGCGCCACUGCACUCCAGCCUGGGGGACAAGAGUGAGACUUGGUCUCAGAAAAAAAAAAAAGAAGGACAGGGUCAGUGGUAUAGUUUGAUGAGAUUCGAAGGGAGAUUCAACCCAGUGGUUGUUUAGGAAGGAAAGAGCAAAUGGUUUGGAAUCAGCAAUCAGUACUGAAGAGGUUAUUGACCCCACCCUAGGGCUGAGGUAUGAGGGCAGGAGGGAGAACAGCUACCACUUGAACACCCGAGCUCAGGUGAUCCACCCACCUUAGCCUCCCAGGUAGCUGGGACCACAGUCUGGAAAGGGGAUGUUAACAGCUUCACUAGGACACUUUUUGAGUCUUGAACUCAGUUUCUCAGAUUACAUAAUUUCACUUCCUCCUAACUUGUUUGAGAGGCACCACUUUCUGAACCUGCAUCUGAUGCUGACAUUGGGAAUUAUAACCCAAACCACAAUUACCCAUUCAAAUAACAUUUGGACAGUUUUCCUCCCAUUUACCCAGGAGAUAUAUAUUUAUAAUCUUCAAGUUGCAUUUUAAAAUGAUUUUAAAAAGCCUUAUUUACAAAAACAUGCAACUCUUUUCAUUGUGAGGUCAUAUCCCUAGGGAGACUUACUAAAUCUGUGUUCAAAUUUCUUUGCCGAUUUUUUCACCACUGUCAUCAGGUGACCUUUAUAAACAUACAAACUAGCAUUGACUGAGGUCAUUUCAGGUGACGGCAUCUCAGACAGCUGUCAUUACUUAAAAAGAUGAAUUAAAAAAAGUGGAGGGAGGAAAGGUGAAAGAGAAAUGCAGAAAGAGAAAAAAGAAAAUAAAAG
This is a long non-coding RNA of Homo sapiens (human), 4688 nucleotides long. RefSeq lists it as uncharacterized. NCBI's taxonomy places the organism in Eukaryota, Metazoa, Chordata, Mammalia, Primates, Hominidae. The transcript is spliced from 3 exons. The record is from RefSeq and is a predicted model, not a curated record.